ACGCUAGCUACAGGCUUAACACAUGCAAGUCGAGGGGCAGCAUCAUCAAAGCUUGCUUUGAUGGAUGGCGACCGGCGCACGGGUGAGUAACACGUAUCCAACCUGCCGACAACACUGGGAUAGCCUUUCGAAAGGAAGAUUAAUACCGGAUGGUAUAGUUUUCCCGCAUGGGAUAAUUAUUAAAGAAUUUCGGUUGUCGAUGGGGAUGCGUUCCAUUAGGCAGUUGGCGGGGUAACGGCCCACCAAACCUACGAUGGAUAGGGGUUCUGAGAGGAAGGUCCCCCACAUUGGAACUGAGACACGGUCCAAACUCCUACGGGAGGCAGCAGUGAGGAAUAUUGGUCAAUGGACGAGAGUCUGAACCAGCCAAGUAGCGUGAAGGAUGACUGCCCUAUGGGUUGUAAACUUCUUUUAUACGGGAAUAAAGUUAGCCACGUGUGGUUUUUUUGUAUGUACCGUAUGAAUAAGGAUCGGCUAACUCCGUGCCAGCAGCCGCGGUAAUACGGAGGAUCCGAGCGUUAUCCGGAUUUAUUGGGUUUAAAGGGAGCGUAGGCGGGUUGUUAAGUCAGUUGUGAAAGUUUGCGGCUCAACCGUAAAAUUGCAGUUGAUACUGGCGACCUUGAGUGCAGUUGAGGCAGGCGGAAUUCGUGGUGUAGCGGUGAAAUGCUUAGAUAUCACGAAGAACUCCGAUUGCGAAGGCAGCUUACUGGAUUGUAACUGACGCUGAUGCUCGAAAGUGUGGGUAUCAAACAGGAUUAGAUACCCUGGUAGUCCACACAGUAAACGAUGAAUACUCGCUGUUGGCGAUAUACAGUCAGCGGCCAAGCGAAAGCAUUAAGUAUUCCACCUGGGGAGUACGCCGGCAACGGUGAAACUCAAAGGAAUUGACGGGGGCCCGCACAAGCGGAGGAACAUGUGGUUUAAUUCGAUGAUACGCGAGGAACCUUACCCGGGCUUAAAUUGCAACUGACGGAACCGGAAACGGUUCUUUCUUCGGACAGUUGUGAAGGUGCUGCAUGGUUGUCGUCAGCUCGUGCCGUGAGGUGUCGGCUUAAGUGCCAUAACGAGCGCAACCCUUACGGGUAGUUACCAUCAGGUUAUGCUGGGGACUCUACCCGGACUGCCGUCGUAAGAUGUGAGGAAGGUGGGGAUGACGUCAAAUCAGCACGGCCCUUACGUCCGGGGCUACACACGUGUUACAAUGGGGGGUACAGAAGGCAGCUACACGGCGACGUGGUGCUAAUCCCAAAAGCCUCUCUCAGUUCGGACUGGAGUCUGCAACCCGACUCCAUGAAGCUGGAUUCGCUAGUAAUCGCGCAUCAGCCACGGCGCGGUGAAUACGUUCCCGGGCCUUGUACACACCGCCCGUCAAGCCAUGAAAGCCGGGGGUACCUGAAGUACGUAACCGCGAGGAGCGUCCUAGGGUAAAACUGGUGACUGGGGCUA
RNAcentral lists this ribosomal RNA (1446 nucleotides) under uncultured organism. RNAcentral's name for it is "SSU rRNA". It matches the Rfam family "Bacterial small subunit ribosomal RNA". The record is from RNAcentral.